RNAcentral lists this ribosomal RNA (1056 nucleotides) under Bacillus sp. 8_13. Its description in RNAcentral is "bacterial SSU rRNA". It matches the Rfam family "Bacterial small subunit ribosomal RNA", at positions 56 to 1104 of the family's 1533-position model. The record is from RNAcentral. Lineage: Bacteria; Bacillati; Bacillota; Bacilli; Caryophanales; Bacillaceae.
UGCAAGUCGAGCGGACCUCUUCGGAGGUUAGCGGCGGACGGGUGAGUAACACGUGGGCAACCUGCCUGUAAGACUGGGAUAACUCCGGGAAACCGGAGCUAAUACCGGAUAGUAUCUUGAACCGCAUGGUUCAAGCUGGAAAGACGGUUUCGGCUGUCACUUACAGAUGGGCCCGCGGCGCAUUAGCUAGUUGGUGAGGUAAUGGCUCACCAAGGCAACGAUGCGUAGCCGACCUGAGAGGGUGAUCGGCCACACUGGGACUGAGACACGGCCCAGACUCCUACGGGAGGCAGCAGUAGGGAAUCUUCCGCAAUGGACGAAAGUCUGACGGAGCAACGCCGCGUGAGUGAUGAAGGUUUUCGGAUCGUAAAACUCUGUUGUUAGGGAAGAACAAGUGCGAGAGUAACUGCUCGCACCUUGACGGUACCUAACCAGAAAGCCACGGCUAACUACGUGCCAGCAGCCGCGGUAAUACGUAGGUGGCAAGCGUUGUCCGGAAUUAUUGGGCGUAAAGCGCGCGCAGGCGGUUUCUUAAGUCUGAUGUGAAAGCCCCCGGCUCAACCGGGGAGGGUCAUUGGAAACUGGGAAACUUGAGUGCAGAAGAGGAGAGUGGAAUUCCACGUGUAGCGGUGAAAUGCGUAGAGAUGUGGAGGAACACCAGUGGCGAAGGCGACUCUCUGGUCUGUAACUGACGCUGAGGCGCGAAAGCGUGGGGAGCGAACAGGAUUAGAUACCCUGGUAGUCCACGCCGUAAACGAUGAGUGCUAAGUGUUAGAGGGUUUCCGCCCUUUAGUGCUGCAGCUAACGCAUUAAGCACUCCGCCUGGGGAGUACGGUCGCAAGACUGAAACUCAAAGGAAUUGACGGGGGCCCGCACAAGCGGUGGAGCAUGUGGUUUAAUUCGAAGCAACGCGAAGAACCUUACCAGGUCUUGACAUCCUUUGCCACUUCUAGAGAUAGAAGGUUCCCCUUCGGGGGACAAAGUGACAGAUGGUGCAUGGUUGUCGUCAGCUCGUGUCGUGAGAUGUUGGGUUAAGUCCCGCAACGAGCGCAACCC